RNAcentral lists this long non-coding RNA (867 nucleotides) under Heterocephalus glaber (naked mole-rat). RNAcentral describes it as "lncRNA (ENSHGLG00000048820.1)". The record is from RNAcentral. Lineage: Eukaryota; Metazoa; Chordata; Mammalia; Rodentia; Bathyergidae.
GUGGGGCCCGGCUGCAUUCGAUCUCAGCGCCUCACUUUGUUUCUUGGUCACAUCGCAGCUGUGGUUUGCGUACGUGUCUCCGCGGGUCCAUGUGUUAAGGGGCGUGGUUUUGCUCUGAACGCCCUCCUGCCGCCAGGUGCUGCUUCGCUCAGGCCCAGGGCAUCGGGGCCAACUGAUCACGAGCUGAAACUUCCAAACUGUUCUGAAGGAGGCCUUAGUCCAAGUGGAUCUCGGGUCACAGGCUUGUUGGAACCGAGCAGGAUGACCUAAACACUAUGAGAGGCCCAUGAAACAGCUGCCCUUGCCUGGAGCCCCGCAGGAAGGCCUCGGCAGCACCUGCCCCACACCGCUGAGACCCCUGCUCUCGGGACCCACCCCACCCACCCACACAGCAGGCCCACAGUGGGUGUGGCCGGCCCUUGGUGAAUUAGUGCCUGAAAGAGAAAUCUGUCUGCUAUGCUGGGAUGUGUCAGAGAAGCUGUGCUCUCAGAAUAUGUACUUGGGAUUCAAAACUGGGUGGAAAUAGGAAAUUCUUUGUUCAGAACAAAAAUAGCACAAGUCAGCAGAAACAGAACUGGUGAAGCCGCCAGUUCCCGGGGCUCUGGAGGCCCCCAGGCAGCUGCCUUUGCUCAGCAGCCCGAUGGUGUGAGGGGCGUGGUGAAGGGAGUGCAGCAUGAGGGCCCCUCUUCCUGGCUCUGCCACCCAUGCACCAUGUGGCCUUUUCUUUGCUCCUUGGCUUCCUAAUUUUGCAAGGAGCUGGAUGGAAUAAAGGUACAAACCCCGAGCAACCGCCUUCAGUGAUUUCUAGACAAGGAAUCCCUUGCUCUCUAUCAAAGAAGAGUUUUUGACUGUUUCUUCUCCCCACAG